AAACCCCAAAACAAUUCCCAAAAGCUCUUCCUUCUCUCUCUAGUCAUCUCCCAUUGAAAAAGCUUUGAUGCUUGGAGAAGAACACCAUAUCCCACAAGUUUCUACUUAAUUUCGUGGUGAUUCAUCUUCAAGGUAUGGAUUCUUUCACACUUGGGAUUUAUUUCUCCAAGAGGUCCCUACAAAAGAUGAUUUUUAAGUACUCCAAAUCUAGGGUUUUCUUCCAUGCAUGGGUCUUCUUUAAAAAUAAAAUUAUGAAUCAAUUGUGAUGAAUUAUGAUGAAUUAAUGUUGUUUAAGUAUAUAUUUAUGGUUACAUGCUGAUUUCCUAUGAGAUUUCCUUAGGAUUGACACCCGAUUUUGGCUCUCUCCUACGAUAAUUAAUUUUUGAGCUUCUUCAUUCUUAAACAAUCUAAGAUUAUUAGUUUUUAUAAAAUUUUGAGGAAAUACAAGCUUACAAAUUUUUUGAAUAACUUUGACAAAUUAUAUUAAAUAAGUUUGGUCACUUUUUUGUAUUUUUAGCAAUAUAUAGGCACGUUUAAUAAAGCUUUGUACAUAAAAAAAUCUAUUUUAUAGAUAUUUCGAAAAGCAUCUCAAAGGAUUUUAAUUCCUAGUAAGUAUAUUGGCUAAAUUAAUUUGGUAAAUUAUGGUUAUAAUUUCUAACCAUCGCUUUUUAAUUAAGUUAAUUAUUUUGUCUUUUUAAAAAUCAAGAAGCUCCUAAAUUUAUUACAUUGGUUCUUUUUGUUUUGAUUUUAACUAUAUUCGGGAUUGAACACAAUAUGGGUGAUUUAAUACGUCAUGUAAGACCGAUUGUGGGCCUGAAUAAAUUUUCUCAGCAGCCUACUCCCCUUAUGGUUUCAUCUUGCAUUCGUCCAAGCCCAUUCCAAAUCGGCCCACAUUUACCCUUAACCCGGUCCAUAGCUUUGUCGCAUUCCACAAAGAAAAGAUCAGAACACAUAGUAACCAAAUACACCAAAUUUCAGCGCGUCGAUAGCAACCCUCAAUUCCUAGCAGCCAAAUCAGGUGUGUCGUGACAAAAAUACCAGAACGCUCAGCUUCGUCUCCUCGCCUCUCCCUACAAGGAUCCUGCGUUUACAACAACGACCAAGAACUCCAACUUGUCCUUGGUGGCGUGAGAUCAUACCAUGUCAACGCCAAGGACGAUAGAGUCGAUCAAGACCAUCAAUGCAAUCUUACCUGUUAUGGGUAAAGGCAAUAACCUUCAGAAAAGCUUUUCGAUCCAAAAUUGGAAAAGGGUUUUGAAAUUUGAAUUUGGGUUGGCCUUUCCCGUCAUGAUUUGGUCGUUUUCCCCCAAAAAUCCAACCCUAAUUUUCCCAAUAUAUAUAUUCUAUUGCUCACUGUGAAAAGGGAGAUUCGAUUUUUCUUGAGAUUUUUGGAGACAAGGGGGAUUUGAUUUUUCUUGAGAUUCCAAGAAGAAUAGAGGAUAGAUUUUAGUUGAGAAGACAAGUGCAGAAGAAAUUUAAAAGGAUUUUAAUCAAGGUUAAGAAAAUAGUUUGAGCGGUCAGUCCCAAAAUACAUAGGCAACAUAUUCGAAGAAGGGUGAACCGGAUUUCUCUCGCUGUUCUGUUUGGGUUUAUGUGGUUGAGGUUCAUCUUCCUACUCGUGUAGUGCCUGUUCCACUGCCCAUAAAAAGAUGGAGCUAUUUCCUUCAAGUCACACUUUCCCUUUCCUUCCUUGAGAUGAAGAACUCACAAUUUCUUUUAUCCGAGCUGAAGAUCAAACUGAAGAUCGAGCAACAAAACUCAUCGAGCUGACCGAACUUUCUCUUUUCCGAGCUGAAGAUUUUGUCAAGGUAAGAGCUGAAGAUUUCAUCAAGCUUCAUCAUAUUGAAUAAAUUUUUAUAUUUUUUGUUUAAAAGGAAUUGAUUGGGGUUGUUAGCAAGAUGAACUGAAGUUAAGCCUUUUCGUCACACUUUUCUCUCAGAUUUCUCGUUGCAUGACUUGAUUUUAGACAGAUUUAGGAUUUACCUGGUAAGAAUUCUAUCUUUGAAAGUCUAAUUUCUAGCUUUAGAUUUUUGAUGUUCUUGUGUUUUUGUACAAUUUUUGGGAGUCUAGCUCGUAAUUUAGCUGUACUAGUUGAUUUCUGGGUGCCUUGAGCCUUCAUACCUUGUAUCGUGAUGUUGAACUAAUGAAAAGCAGAAAACUGAAUGAACUGAGAAAACUGAAUGAACUGGGUCGACGGACCUCACAAUGGGACGUCAUGGUCACGACGAGCCGUCAUGGACCUCGCGAUGGAUCGGUCGUAGUCAUGAGAGGCCGUCGUGGUCAGACGGGUCGUGGUCAUGACGGGUCGUCGUGGUCAUCCGUCGUGGUCAUGACGGGCCGUUGUGGACUCCGUCGUCCCAUACAUGCAAAUUUCUUCUGCUACUUCUCUGAUCUUCAUGACGAACAUGCAGGACGGACCGUCAUGGCUACGAUGGUCCGUCACGCUUUCUGUUACA
Molecule: long non-coding RNA, 2456 nt
Filed under: Solanum lycopersicum (tomato)
Lineage: Eukaryota; Viridiplantae; Streptophyta; Magnoliopsida; Solanales; Solanaceae
Description: partial TCONS_00168585
Source: RNAcentral